CACUCUAGAGAGACUGCCAGGGAUAACCUGGAGGAAGGUGGGGAUGACGUCAAAUCAUCAUGCCCCUUAUGCUUAGGGCUACACACGUGCUACAAUGGGUAGUACAGAGGGUUGCCAAGCCGUAAGGCGGAGCUAAUCCCUUAAAGCUACUCUCAGUUCGGAUUGUAGGCUGAAACUCGCCUACAUGAAGCUGGAGUUACUAGUAAUCGCAGAUCAGAAUGCUGCGGUGAAUGCGUUCCCGGGUCUUGUACCCAC
RNAcentral lists this ribosomal RNA (255 nucleotides) under Clostridioides difficile. Its description in RNAcentral is "partial 16S ribosomal RNA". It matches the Rfam family "Bacterial small subunit ribosomal RNA", at positions 1136 to 1390 of the family's 1533-position model. The record is from RNAcentral. Lineage: Bacteria; Bacillati; Bacillota; Clostridia; Peptostreptococcales; Peptostreptococcaceae.